RNAcentral lists this ribosomal RNA (251 nucleotides) under uncultured bacterium. Its description in RNAcentral is "partial 16S ribosomal RNA". It matches the Rfam family "Bacterial small subunit ribosomal RNA", at positions 335 to 578 of the family's 1533-position model. The record is from RNAcentral.
UUGCCUACGGGGGGCAGCAGUAGGGAAUCUUCCACAAUGGACGAAAGCCUGAUGGAGCAACGCCGCGUGAGUGAAGAAGGGCUUCGGCUCGUAAAGCUCUGUUGGGGGGGAAGAAAGAUAGAGGCAGGAACUGGCCUUUAUUUGACGGUAAUUACCUAGAAAGUCACGGCUAACUACGUGCCAGCAGCCGCGGUAAUACGUAGGUGGCAAGCGUUGUCCGGAUUUAUUGGGCGUAAAGGGAGCGCAGGCGG